Molecule: non-coding RNA, 135 nt
Organism: Hordeum vulgare subsp. vulgare (domesticated barley)
Lineage: Eukaryota; Viridiplantae; Streptophyta; Magnoliopsida; Poales; Poaceae
Source: Rfam
CUUGUACUCCCUCCGUCCCAAAUUUUUGUCUUAGGUUUGUCUAGACAUGGAUGUAUCUAAAUACUAAACUGUGACUAGAUACAUUUAUAUCUAGACAAAUCUAAGANNAGAAUUUUGAGACGGAGGGAGUAUGAC